UACUACGGUCAUGCCACCCUGAACGUGCCUGAUUUCGUCUGAUCUCGGAAGCUAAGCAGAGUUGGGCCGGGUUAGUACUUGCAUGGGAGACCACGUAGGAAUACCAGGUGCUAUAAGUGU
This 120-nucleotide ribosomal RNA is filed under the name Pteropus alecto (black flying fox). Lineage: Eukaryota; Metazoa; Chordata; Mammalia; Chiroptera; Pteropodidae. The record is from RNAcentral.